This 460-nucleotide ribosomal RNA is filed under the name uncultured bacterium. RNAcentral's name for it is "partial 16S ribosomal RNA". It matches the Rfam family "Bacterial small subunit ribosomal RNA", at positions 338 to 795 of the family's 1533-position model. The record is from RNAcentral.
CCUACGGGUGGCUGCAGUGAGGAAUAUUGGUCAAUGGACGAGAGUCUGAACCAGCCAAGUAGCGUGAAGGAUGACUGCCCUAUGGGUUGUAAACUACUUUUAUCUGGGAAUAAAAUGUUCCACGUGUGGGAUUUUGUAUGUACCAUAUGAAUAAGGAUCGGCUAACUCCUUGACAGCAGCCGGGGUAAUACGGAGUAACAGAGCGUUAUCCGGAUUGAUUGGGUUUAAAGGGAGCUUAGGUGGAUUGUUAAGUCAGUUGUGAAAGUUUGCGGCUCAACCGUAAAAUUGCAGUUGAAACUGGCAGUCUUGAGUACAGUAGAGGUGGGCGGAAUUCGUGGUGUAGCGGUGAAAUGCUUAGAUAUCACGAAGAACUCCGAUUGCGAAGGCAGCUCACUGGACUGCAACUGACACUGAGGCUCGAAAGUGUGAGUAUCAAACAGGAUUAGAUACCCCUGUAGUC